Molecule: ribosomal RNA, 268 nt
Filed under: uncultured prokaryote
Description: partial 16S ribosomal RNA
Rfam family: Bacterial small subunit ribosomal RNA
Source: RNAcentral
CAGCCGCCGCGGUAAUACGGAGGGUGCAAGCGUUAAUCGGAAUUACUGGGCGUAAAGCGCGCGUAGGUGGUUAUGUAAGCGAGAUGUGAAAGCCCCGGGCUCAACCUGGGAACGGCACUUCGAACUGCAUGGCUAGAGUGUGGUAGAGGGUAGUGGAAUUUCCUGUGUAGCGGUGAAAUGCGUAGAUAUAGGAAGGAACACCAGUGGCGAAGGCGGCUACCUGGACCAACACUGACACUGAGGUGCGAAAGCGUGGGGAGCAAACAGG